This 1211-nucleotide long non-coding RNA is filed under the name Panax ginseng (ginseng). Its description in RNAcentral is "long non-coding RNA (PGIN_LNC018735)". The record is from RNAcentral. Lineage: Eukaryota; Viridiplantae; Streptophyta; Magnoliopsida; Apiales; Araliaceae.
GGGGAGUGAUCGAUAAUGGCGACAACAGUUUCACAGCUUAGGGUAGGUCCCGUACUCAUGUCACCAAAGCAUCAUUCUUUUUAUUCAUCAACGAGACAGUUCUCGUCCAACAAUUUCUUCCUCCUGAAGAAGAAAUUCGACGAAAAUCGACCAAAUUUUCCCAAAUUGCGACUUGUUUUCCCCAAGAGCCAUUCAAUUUUAAGGUGCGGGUUGAGUACUAACUGCAGCAAAGCAAAUAUUUUUCCAACUCGUAGUUUACAAAAAGAUCUUCUUUUUGUUGUGAAGAACUUCAUAAAUACUUGUUCAAUUCAGAAACUUUUCCAAGAUUCUGUUUUUAAUGGUCCAUUAGUUCCAGUGCUGAAAAAACUAAUUUGAUUAAAGUAGCUCAAGAAGUAUAGAUUUUCUUUUAUUGUUCUUUCCUCCUCCUCUUCUACUUGAAUCACGGCCCCUGCUUCUUAUUCAGUACGUAAAACUAUAAAAAAAAAAGUUUUAGUUUCUAGUAUUUUACUUAUUAAUAUGUAACCGAUCAAUUCUUCCAAUCUUAUUAUGAUACAAUUUUACACAAUUAUAAAUUAGACUCAAUUAAUUUUGAAAUUUAAUUUUAUUAAAUUAAUAAUGCAUAUUAAUUAUAUUAUUGGCCCAUGUAAAUUAAUAACUAAAUGGAUUCAAUUUUACACAGUUAUAAAGUAGACCCAAUUAAUUUUAAGAUUUAAUUUUAUUAAAUUAAUAAUACUUAUUAACUAUUAUUAGUCUGAAUAAAUUAAUAACUAAUUUGAUCCAUUUAACACUCGAACAAAAUUGGUCAUCAAAUUCAAAAGAACCGACUCUAAUUCAAAUCAGUGAGCUUUCUGGGCUGGUAGUGAUCGAUAAUGGCGACAACUGUUUCACAGCUUAGGGUAGGUCCCGUACUUAUGUCACCAAAGCAUCAUUCUUUUUAUUCAUCUAUGAGACUGUUUUCGUCCGACAAUUUCUUCCUCCUGAAGAAGAAAUUCGACAAAAAUCGACCAAAUUUCCCAAAUUGCGACUUGUUUUCCCCAAGAGCCAUUCAAUUUUAAGGUGCGGGUUGAGUAAUAACUGCAGCAAAGAAAAUAUUUUUCCAACUCGUAGUUUACAAAAAGAUCCUAUUUUUGUUGUGAAGAAAUUCAUAAAUCCUUGUUCAAUUCAGAAACUUUUCCAAGAUUCUGUUUUUAAUGGUCAAUUAGUUCCAGUGC